GACGAACGCUGGCGGCGCGCCUAACACAUGCAAGUCGAACGAGCGAGAGAGAGCUUGCUUUCUCGAGCGAGUGGCGAACGGGUGAGUAACGCAUGAGGAACCUGCCUCAAAGAGGGGGACAACAGUUGGAAACGACUGCUAAUACCGCAUAAGCCCACGGUGCCGCAUGGCACAGAGGGAAAAGGAGCAAUCCGCUUUGAGAUGGCCUCGCGUCCGAUUAGCUAGUUGGUGAGGUAAUGGCCCACCAAGGCGACGAUCGGUAGCCGGACUGAGAGGUUGAACGGCCACAUUGGGACUGAGACACGGCCCAGACUCCUACGGGAGGCAGCAGUGGGGAAUAUUGCACAAUGGGGGAAACCCUGAUGCAGCGACGCCGCGUGGAGGAAGAAGGUCUUCGGAUUGUAAACUCCUGUUGUUGGGGAAGAUAAUGACGGUACCCAACAAGGAAGUGACGGCUAACUACGUG
RNAcentral lists this ribosomal RNA (466 nucleotides) under uncultured bacterium. RNAcentral describes it as "partial 16S ribosomal RNA". It matches the Rfam family "Bacterial small subunit ribosomal RNA", at positions 28 to 507 of the family's 1533-position model. The record is from RNAcentral.